RNAcentral lists this ribosomal RNA (562 nucleotides) under uncultured bacterium. Its description in RNAcentral is "partial 16S ribosomal RNA". It matches the Rfam family "Bacterial small subunit ribosomal RNA", at positions 355 to 1375 of the family's 1533-position model. The record is from RNAcentral.
UGGGGAAUAUUGGACAAUGGGCGCAAGCCUGAUCCAGCCAUGCCGCGUGAGUGAUGAAGGCCUUAGGGUUGUAAAGCUCUUUCGCCGGUGAAGAUAAUGACGGUAACCGGAGAAGAAGCCCCGGCUAACUUCGUGCCAGCAGCCGCGGUAAUACGAAGGGGGCUAGCGUUGCUCGGAAUCACUGGGCGUAAAGCGCACGUAGGCGGAUCGUUAAGUCAGGGGUGAAAUCCUGGAGCUCAACUCCAGAACUGCCCUUGAUACUGGCAAUCUCGAGUUCGAGAGAGGUUGGUGGAAACUCCGAGUGUAGAGGUGAAAUUCGUAGAUAUUCGGAAGAACACCAGUGGCGAAGGCGGCCAACUGGCUCGAUACUGACGCUGAGGUGCGAAAGCGUGGGGAGCAAAACAGGAUUAGAUACCCUGGUAGUCCACGCCGUAAACGAUGGAUGCUAGCCGUUGGGGGGUUUACCUCUCAGUGGCGCAGCUAACGCCUUAAGCAUCCCGCCUGGGGAGUACGGUCGCAAGAUUAAAACUCAAAUGAAUUGACGGGGUCAUAGCUGUUUCCU